UACAGGGGGUGCAAACGUUGCUCGGAAUUAUUGGGCGUAAAGCGCGCGUAGGCGGCUACUUAAGUCGGAUGUGAAAGCCCUUGGCUCAACUGAGGAAGUGCAUCCGAAACUGGCAGGCUAGAGUACUAAAGAGGGUCGCGGAAUUCCCGGUGUAGAGGUGAAAUUCGUAGAUAUCGGGAGGAACACCGGUGGCGAAGGCGGCGACCUGGGUAGAUACUGACGCUGAGGUGCGAAAGCGUGGGGAGCAAACAGG
Molecule: ribosomal RNA, 253 nt
Filed under: uncultured bacterium
Lineage: Bacteria
Description: partial 16S ribosomal RNA
Rfam family: Bacterial small subunit ribosomal RNA
Source: RNAcentral